Transfer RNA from Halioglobus sp. HI00S01, 74 nucleotides. It matches the Rfam family "tRNA". Rfam says of the family: Transfer RNA (tRNA) molecules are approximately 80 nucleotides in length. Their secondary structure includes four short double-helical elements and three loops (D, anti-codon, and T loops). NCBI's taxonomy places the organism in Bacteria, Pseudomonadati, Pseudomonadota, Gammaproteobacteria, Cellvibrionales, Halieaceae. The record is from Rfam.
GCGCCUGUAGCUCAGCUGGAUAGAGUACCUGGCUACGAACCAGGCGGUCGCACGUUCGAAUCGUGCCAGGCGCG